AGAACGAACGCUGGCGGCAUGCCUAACACAUGCAAGUCGAACGAGACCUUCGGGUCUAGUGGCGCACGGGUGCGUAACGCGUGGGAAUCUACCCUUGGGUUCGGAAUAACAGUUGGAAACGACUGCUAAUACCGGAUGAUGUCGCAAGACCAAAGAUUUAUCGCCCAAGGAUGAGCCCGCGUAGGAUUAGCUAGUUGGUGAGGUAAAGGCUCACCAAGGCGACGAUCCUUAGCUGGUCUGAGAGGAUGAUCAGCCACACUGGGACUGAGACACGGCCCAGACCCCUACGGGAGGCAGCAGUGGGGAAUAUUGGACAAUGGGCGAAAGCCUGAUCCAGCAAUGCCGCGUGAGUGAUGAAGGCCUUAGGGUUGUAAAGCUCGUUUACCGGGAUGAUAAUGACAGUACCGGAGAAUAAGCUCCGGCUAACUCCGACGCCAGCCAGCCGC
This 446-nucleotide ribosomal RNA is filed under the name uncultured soil bacterium. RNAcentral's name for it is "bacterial SSU rRNA". It matches the Rfam family "Bacterial small subunit ribosomal RNA", at positions 26 to 518 of the family's 1533-position model. The record is from RNAcentral.